GCAUUGAUAGUGUAGCGGUUAUCAUCGAGUCUUCCCAUGAAGCUUACAUCAGCAGAUGUUAGUAUACGGGAUUUGGCUUGGACCCGGGUUCGACUCCCGGUCAAUGCA
Tephrocybe sp. NHM501043 is the source of this 108-nucleotide non-coding RNA. NCBI's taxonomy places the organism in Eukaryota, Fungi, Basidiomycota, Agaricomycetes, Agaricales, Lyophyllaceae. The record is from the annotation of a GenBank genome assembly.